Molecule: ribosomal RNA, 396 nt
Filed under: uncultured bacterium
Lineage: Bacteria
Description: bacterial SSU rRNA
Rfam family: Bacterial small subunit ribosomal RNA
Source: RNAcentral
CAGUUCUGGCCAUCCCUGAACAUCUCCGAGAAAGAAGCGUUCCCUUCGGAGACAAGGUGACAGGUGGUGCAUGGUGGUCGUCAGCUCGUGUCGUGAGAUGUGUGGGUUAAUGUCCCGCAACGAGCGCAACCCUUAUUGUUAGUUGCCAGCAUUCAGUUGGGCACUCUAGGGAGACUGCCGGUGACAAACCGGAGGAAGGUGGGGAUGACGUCAAAUCAUCAUGCCCCUUAUGACCUGGGCUACACACGUGCUACAAUGGCGUAUACAACGAGUUGCCAACCCGCGAGGGCGAGCUAAUCUCUUAAAGUACGUCUCAGUUCGGAUUGUAGUCUGCAACUCGCCUACAUGAAGUCGGAAUCGCUAGUAAUCGGAUCAGCACGCCGCGGUGAAUACGUU